GGAGCCGUAGCGAAAGCGAGUCUGAAUAGGGCGCAUAAGUAACAGGUCGUAGACCCGAAACCAGGUGAUCUACCCAUGUCCAGGAUGAAGGUAAGGUAAUACUUACUGGAGGUCCGAACCCACGCACGUUGAAAAGUGCGGGGAUGAGGUGUGGGUAGCGGAGAAAUUCCAAUCGAACUUGGAGAUAGCUGGUUCUCUCCGAAAUAGCUUUAGGGCUAGCCUCGAGGUAAAGAGUCAUGGAGGUAGAGCACUGUUUGGACUAGGGGCCCUUCUCGGGUUACCGAAUUCAGAUAAACUCCGAAUGCCAUGUACUUAUACUCGGGAGUCAGACUGCGAGUGAUAAGAUCCGUAGUCGAAAGGGAAACAGCCCAGACCACCAGUUAAGGUCCCCAAAUAUAUGUUAAGUGGAAAAGGAUGUGGGGUUGCUUAGACAACCAGGAUGUUGGCUUAGAAGCAGCCACCAUUGAAAGAGUGCGUAAUAGCUCACUGGUCGAGUGACCCCGCGCCGAAAAUGUACCGGGGCUAAACAUAUUACCGAAACUGUGGAUGAACCUCUUUAGAGGUUCGUGGUAGGAGAGCGUUCUAAGGGCGGUGAAGUCAGACCGGAAGGACUGGUGGAGCGCUUAGAAGUGAGAAUGCCGGUAUGAGUAGCGAAAGAAGGGUGAGAAUCCCUUCCACCGAAUAUCUAAGGUUUCCUGAGGAAGGCUCGUCCGCUCAGGGUUAGUCGGGACCUAAGCCGAGGCCGAUAGGCGUAGGCGAUGGACAACAGGUAGAGAUUCCUGUACCAGUGCUAAUUGUUUAACCGAUGGGGUGACACAGAAGGAUAGGGAAUCGCACGAAUGGAAAUGUGCGUCCAAGCAGUGAGUGUGAGAAGUAGGCAAAUCCGCUUCUCGCGAAGCAUGAGCUGUGAUGGGGAAGGAAAUUAAGUACGGAAGUUCCUGAUUUCACGCUGUCAAGAAAAGCCUCUAGGAAGAGUAGUACUGCCCGUACCGCAAACCGACACAGGUAGAUGAGGAGAGAAUCCUAAGGUGAGCGAGAGAACUCUCGUUAAGGAACUCGGCAAAAUGACCCCGUAACUUCGGGAGAAGGGGUGCUCUAUUAGGGUGCAAGCCCGAGAGAGCCGCAGUGAAUAGGCCCAGGCGACUGUUUAGCAAAAACACAGGUCUCUGCAAAACCGUAAGGUGACGUAUAGGGGCUGACGCCUGCCCGGUGCUGGAAGGUUAAGAGGAGUGCUUAGCUUCGGCGAAGGUACGAAUUGAAGCCCCAGUAAACGGCGGCCGUAACUAUAACGGUCCUAAGGUAGCGAAAUUCCUUGUCGGGUAAGUUCCGACCCGCACGAAAGGCGCAACGAUCUGGGCACUGUCUCAACGAGAGACUCGGUGAAAUUAUAGUACCUGUGAAGAUGCAGGUUACCCGCGACAGGACGGAAAGACCCCGUGGAGCUUUACUGCAACCUGAUAUGGAAUGUUUGUACCGCUUGUACAGGAUAGGUAGGAGCCGAAGAGACGUGUGCGCUAGCAUACGAGGAGGCAAUGGUGGGAUACUACCCUGGCUGUAUGACCAUUCUAACCCGCCACGCUUAGCGCGUGGGGAGACAGUGUCAGGUGGGCAGUUUGACUGGGGCGGUCGCCUCCUAAAGAGUAACGGAGGCGCCCAAAGGUUCCCUCAGAAUGGAUGGAAAUCAUUCGCAGAGUGUAAAGGCACAAGGGAGCUUGACUGCGAGACUGACAAGUCGAGCAGGGACGAAAGUCGGGCUUAGUGAUCCGGUGGUUCCGCAUGGAAGGGCCAUCGCUCAACGGAUAAAAGCUACCCCGGGGAUAACAGGCUUAUCUCCCCCAAGAGUCCACAUCGACGGGGAGGUUUGGCACCUCGAUGUCGGCUCGUCGCAUCCUGGGGCUGUAGUCGGUCCCAAGGGUUGGGCUGUUCGCCCAUUAAAGCGGCACGCGAGCUGGGUUCAGAACGUCGUGAGACAGUUCGGUCCCUAUCCGUCGCGGGCGCAGGAAAUUUGAGAGGAGCUGUCCUUAGUACGAGAGGACCGGGAUGGACACACCGCUGGUGUACCAGUUGUUCCGCCAGGAGCAUCGCUGGGUAGCUAUGUGUGGCAGGGAUAAACGCUGAAAGCAUCUAAGCGUGAAGCCCCCCUCAAGAUGAGAUUUCCCAUUUCUUCGGAAAGUAAGAUCCCUGAAAGAUGAUCAGGUAGAUAGGUUUGGAGUGGAAGUGUAGCGAUACAUGGAGCGGACAAAUACUAAUCGAUCGAGGACUUAACCAA
This 2269-nucleotide ribosomal RNA is filed under the name Listeria monocytogenes. Its description in RNAcentral is "partial 23S ribosomal RNA". It matches the Rfam family "Bacterial large subunit ribosomal RNA", at positions 662 to 2925 of the family's 2925-position model. RNAcentral also lists the same sequence under 3 other names. The record is from RNAcentral. Lineage: Bacteria; Bacillati; Bacillota; Bacilli; Caryophanales; Listeriaceae.